AUCGAACGCUGGCGGCAGGCUUAACACAUGCAAGUCGAACGCGUGUAGCAAUACACGAGUGGCGCACGGGUGAGUAACGCGUGGAUAUCUGCCUUUUGGUUCGGAAUAACCCCGGGAAACUGGGGCUAAUACCGGAUGGUUCCUUCGGGAUAAAGAUUUAUCGCCAAAAGAUGAGUCCGCGUACGAUUAGCUAGUUGGUGAGGUAAUGGCUCACCAAGGCGACGAUCGUUAGCUGGUCUGAGAGGACGAUCAGCCACACUGGGACUGAGACACGGCCCAGACUCCUACGGGAGGCAGCAGUGGGGAAUAUUGGACAAUGGGGGCAACCCUGAUCCAGCCAUGCCGCGUGAGUGAUGAAGGCCUUCGGGUUGUAAAGCUCUUUUGGCGGGGACGAUGAUGACGGUACCCGCAGAAUAAGCCCCGGCUAACUUCGUGCCAGCCGCCGUAAAAC
RNAcentral lists this ribosomal RNA (451 nucleotides) under uncultured bacterium. RNAcentral describes it as "partial 16S ribosomal RNA". It matches the Rfam family "Bacterial small subunit ribosomal RNA", at positions 30 to 526 of the family's 1533-position model. The record is from RNAcentral.